This 443-nucleotide ribosomal RNA is filed under the name uncultured bacterium. RNAcentral describes it as "partial 16S ribosomal RNA". It matches the Rfam family "Bacterial small subunit ribosomal RNA", at positions 338 to 795 of the family's 1533-position model. The record is from RNAcentral.
CCUACGGGAGGCAGCAGUGGGGAAUAUUGGUCAAUGGGCGCAAGCCUGACCCAGCAACGCCGCGUGAAGGAAGAAGGCCCUCGGGUUUUAAACUUCUUUUAUCAGGGACGAAACACAUGACGGUACCGGAUGAAUAAGCCAAGGCUAACUACGUGCAAGGAGCAGCGGUAAUACGUAGGUGGCAAGAGUUAUGCGGAUUUACGGGGUGUAAAGGGCUUGUAGGCGGGAGGGUAAGGCAGACGUGAAAUUCCAGGGCUCAACCCUGGAACUGCGUUUGAAACUGUUCUUCUUGAGUGAUGGAGAGGCAGGCGGAAUUCCGUGGGUAGCGGUGAAAUGCGUAGAUAUACGGAGGAACACCAGUGGCGAAGGCGGCCUGCUGGACAUUAACUGACGCUGAGGCGCGAAAGCGUGGGGAGCAAACAGGAUUAGAUACCCGGGUAGUC